AGCCUCAUUCUGGAUUAGACUGAGCACUGUUGAUUCAUGUCCAGAAUUGGUCAGUGGGGCUAAAAUUGCAAUAUAGGUCAUGCUUCCAUCACAGUAAAUAUUUACAGUGGUGACAAGGAGGCCUGUAACAUUU
Small nucleolar RNA from Octodon degus (degu), 133 nucleotides. The record is from Ensembl. NCBI's taxonomy places the organism in Eukaryota, Metazoa, Chordata, Mammalia, Rodentia, Octodontidae.